Molecule: unclassified non-coding RNA, 343 nt
Filed under: soil metagenome
Description: partial contains 5.8S ribosomal RNA, internal transcribed spacer 2, and large subunit ribosomal RNA
Rfam family: 5.8S ribosomal RNA (bases 4-118)
Source: RNAcentral
GAUGGAACGUAGCGAAAUGCGAUAAGUAAUGUGAAUUGCAGAAUUCAGUGAAUCAUCGAAUCUUUGAACGCACAUUGCGCCCGCCAGCAUUCUGGCGGGCAUGCCUGUUCGAGCGUCAUUUCAACCCUCGACUUCCCUUUGGGGAAAUCGGCGUUGGGGACUGGCAGCAUACCGCCGGCCCCGAAAUGGAGUGGCGGCCCGUCCGCGGCGACCUCUGCGUAGUAAUCCAACCUCGCACCGGAACCCCGACGUGGCCACGCCGUAAAACACCCCACUUUCUGAACGUUGACCUCGGAUCAGGUAGGAAUACCCGCUGAACUUAAGCAUAUCAAUAAGCGGAGGA